This 175-nucleotide ribosomal RNA is filed under the name uncultured bacterium. Its description in RNAcentral is "partial 16S ribosomal RNA". It matches the Rfam family "Bacterial small subunit ribosomal RNA", at positions 200 to 377 of the family's 1533-position model. The record is from RNAcentral.
UGAAAAACUGAGGUGGUAUAAGAUGGGCCCGCGUCUGAUUAGCUGGUUGGGAGGGUAACGGCCUACCAAGGCGACGAUCAGUAGCCGGCCUGAGAGGGCGGACGGCCACAUUGGGACUGAGACACGGCCCAGACUCCUACGGGAGGCAGCAGUGGGGAAUAUUGCACAUUGGGGG